UGCAAGUCGAACGGAAACAUGUCUAGCUUGCUAGAUGAUGUCGAGUGGCGGACGGGUGAGUAAUGCUUGGGAACUUGCCUUUGCGAGGGGGAUAACAGUUGGAAACGACUGCUAAUACCGCAUAAUGUCUUCGGACCAAACGGGGCUUCGGCUCCGGCGCAAAGAGAGGCCCAAGUGAGAUUAGCUAGUUGGUGAGGUAAAGGCUCACCAAGGCAACGAUCUCUAGCUGUUCUGAGAGGAAGAUCAGCCACACUGGGACUGAGACACGGCCCAGACUCCUACGGGAGGCAGCAGUGGGGAAUAUUGCACAAUGGGGGAAACCCUGAUGCAGCCAUGCCGCGUGUGUGAAGAAGGCCUUCGGGUUGUAAAGCACUUUCAGUUGUGAGGAAAAGUUAGUAGUUAAUACCUGCUAGCCGUGACGUUAACAACAGAAGAAGCACCGGCUAACUCCGUGCCAGCAGCCGCGGUAAUACGGAGGGUGCGAGCGUUAAUCGGAAUUACUGGGCGUAAAGCGCACGCAGGCGGUUUGUUAAGCUAGAUGUGAAAGCCCCGGGCUCAACCUGGGACGGUCAUUUAGAACUGGCAGACUAGAGUCUUGGAGAGGGGAGUGGAAUUCCAGGUGUAGCGGUGAAAUGCGUAGAUAUCUGGAGGAACAUCAGUGGCGAAGGCGACUCCCUGGCCAAAGACUGACGCUCAUGUGCGAAAGUGUGGGUAGCGAACAGGAUUAGAUACCCUGGUAGUCCACACCGUAAACGCUGUCUACUAGCUGUUUGUGACUUUAAGUCGUGAGUAGCGAAGCUAACGCGAUAAGUAGACCGCCUGGGGAGUACGGCCGC
RNAcentral lists this ribosomal RNA (836 nucleotides) under Alteromonas sp. MED506. Its description in RNAcentral is "bacterial SSU rRNA". It matches the Rfam family "Bacterial small subunit ribosomal RNA", at positions 56 to 889 of the family's 1533-position model. The record is from RNAcentral. Lineage: Bacteria; Pseudomonadati; Pseudomonadota; Gammaproteobacteria; Alteromonadales; Alteromonadaceae.